This 481-nucleotide ribosomal RNA is filed under the name uncultured manure pit bacterium P6OTU1. RNAcentral describes it as "bacterial SSU rRNA". It matches the Rfam family "Bacterial small subunit ribosomal RNA", at positions 7 to 503 of the family's 1533-position model. The record is from RNAcentral.
GAGAGUUUGAUUCUGGCUCAGGACGAACGCUGGCGGCGUGCCUAACACAUGCAAGUCGAGCGAAUGAAGUUCCUUCGGGAACGGAUUUAGCGGCGGACGGGUGAGUAACACGUGGGCAACCUGCCUCAUAGAGGGGAAUAGCCUUCCGAAAGGGAGAUUAAUACCGCAUAAGAUUGUAGUACCGCAUGGUACAGCAAUUAAAGGAGCAAUCCGCUAUGAGAUGGGCCCGCGGCGCAUUAGCUAGUUGGUGAGGUAACGGCUCACCAAGGCGACGAUGCGUAGCCGACCUGAGAGGGUGAUCGGCCACAUUGGGACUGAGACACGGCCCAGACUCCUACGGGAGGCAGCAGUGGGGAAUAUUGCACAAUGGGGGAAACCCUGAUGCAGCAACGCCGCGUGAGUGAUGACGGCCUUCGGGUUGUAAAGCUCUGUCUUCAGGGACGAUAAUGACGGUACCUGAGGAGGAAGCCACGGCUAACUA